AUGGUUUUGGAGGACGAAAGCAGCGACGACCAGUCUAGCCUCCCGUACAUGCAUUCUUCCUCCACAGACGGUCUCAACGAGGUUUUGAUUUGCCUAGUGUCUUUGUGCGAGCUUCUGCAGGUCCCUUUCAGCCUUGAAGAUCCAGAUUACAAGGGGCUUGAGCUGGAUGUGAUGUCUCCAUGUGAGAAGCACGGCAUGGCAUCUGAGAGGCUUGUUGCCUUUGAAGGAACAGACACAGGCAGGCGGUUUUUAGCAUGUGCACAGCCGGCAGGUAGCAAUUGUGGCUUUGUUGAAUGGGUUGAUCACCAGUGGCCCCCAACAAUGCAGAAUGCAUUGUUGAAGCUAUGGGCAAUGGUUGAAGAUGCCAAAACUGCUAGGGUGAAUGACAAUCUUGAAAGUUCUUUCACUAUCCACCAUCUGACAGAAGAGAAGAACAAGCUGGAGGCCAACUAUGACAAGCUAGUCCAAGAUUCUGCCAUUACAUAUCAGCAGGAGGUAAGAAAAGAACUGAUUGAUGAUAUGAAGGCACAGAUGGCAAGUGAGAUGGCAAAGAAAGAUGCAGAGACCCAGAAACUUACUCAGAAGUAUGAGCUGCUGCUCAACCUGACAAGAGCUCAAGCAACAGUCAUUCAGAACUUGAAGUUGAACAAAAUGAAAGAGAAGCAAGUGCUUACUGAAGCUAGUAUGAAUUUGGAGCUGAAGAAUGCAGAGCUAACAAAGUGUCAGGAGAAGCUCACCCAAGAGAAGCUAGAGUUGAAGCUUCAGGUUGCUGAUCUGCUUAAGGGAAAUGAAAAGCAUAUUGAAGAGAAGUGGCAGUUAGAGUUUCAGAAUGAAAAGUUGAAGGAGAAGUUCAUGGGGAUU
This 861-nucleotide ribosomal RNA is filed under the name Triticum aestivum (bread wheat). RNAcentral's name for it is "partial small subunit ribosomal RNA". Lineage: Eukaryota; Viridiplantae; Streptophyta; Magnoliopsida; Poales; Poaceae. The record is from RNAcentral.